GUUGUUUUUCCUGAGCCUCUCAACAACAGGAGAGGCAAGCAGAGCACAGUAGGAACUGAAUGGGGUUUGCGUGAAAGAAAAAUCCAGGGAAAGGUGUCCUGCAGAACGUGCACGGACCUGACCCGAGUCUAAGCUUGUAAGGGGCUUGGUGCAUGGGAGUUGGAGAACCAUCUCGGUGUUCAUAUUCUGGCAUCGAAAUGAGAACAUGAGUGCAUUUUAUUGUAUCUUUGAGGCAACCCUGGAGGCUACACCUUGAAGAGGCAGCCUCAUGAAAUGGAAGGUGCCAAGGAUCUCUGAACGUUAUGGAGCAGAGCCAUCCCACCCCACCAUCUGCAGUUCGACUGUAAUAGGAGUGAGCAAUGUAGUUUUGUGUUAAGCCAUUGAGAUUUGAGGGGUUAUCUAUCACAGAAGCUAUUAUUACUUAUCCUAACUAGCACACUCAUGAGCAAUUACAAAAUACAGUGUGAUGGAAGCUAUGCCAAGUGAGUACCAAGGAGGGUAUCCAAGCCUCUGGAAUACGUCAGAUUUUUGUAUUACACCCCAAGGAAAUGAUGAGGAAAGGUUCUUAGCACAAGGUAUAUUUGGGAUGAUUCUUGACAGAUUACAAUAAUAGUUAAUAUGUAUUGGGUUCUUUCUAUGUUCCAGACACUGUGCUAAGAGCUUUGCUAGAUUAGCCUAUUUAAUCCUCUAGGUAUUAUCUCCCUUUACACCUGGAGAGAAUGAGGUCUGGAGAGGUUAAGUAACUUACCCAAAGUCCCACAACCCUCAAUGGCAGAGCUGGACAUCAACCUCAGUGUUACUCUGCUGCCAGCAAAUACGCAGACAUUAGCCAGGCAGCUGUUAUUUGGAGGGAGAGAGGGCAGAGGAAGCAAACUGGGCAGAGGCACAGAGAAGGGCUGAUGUGCGAAAUACCUAGCAACCCAGUAGCAGGAGUGCUGGGCAAUUGGUGGGUGCUGACCGUGGUGCUGAAGUGGGGCUGGAUCGUAGUAACGUCCUGAGGAAGAAGAGAGGAUAAGGGCGCAGGGGUUGUUGG
RNAcentral lists this long non-coding RNA (1033 nucleotides) under Homo sapiens (human). RNAcentral's name for it is "HSALNT0387370". The record is from RNAcentral. Lineage: Eukaryota; Metazoa; Chordata; Mammalia; Primates; Hominidae.